Transfer RNA from Ipomoea nil (Japanese morning glory), 82 nucleotides. It matches the Rfam family "tRNA". From Rfam's summary of the family: Transfer RNA (tRNA) molecules are approximately 80 nucleotides in length. Their secondary structure includes four short double-helical elements and three loops (D, anti-codon, and T loops). NCBI's taxonomy places the organism in Eukaryota, Viridiplantae, Streptophyta, Magnoliopsida, Solanales, Convolvulaceae. The record is from Rfam.
GUCAAUAUGUCUGAGUGGUUAAGGAGAUAGAUUUGAAAUCUAUUGAGCUUUGCCUGCGUAGGUUUAAAUCUUGCUGUUGAUG